Molecule: unclassified non-coding RNA, 1799 nt
Filed under: Hevea brasiliensis (rubber tree)
Lineage: Eukaryota; Viridiplantae; Streptophyta; Magnoliopsida; Malpighiales; Euphorbiaceae
Source: RNAcentral
AACUAAGAGACCUAUAGAUAAGGCUAAUUCAUCAGAUCAGUCUUCUUCUAAAAGGCCUAAGCUUUCUGAUGUAUCUACAACAACAAAAGUUAAGCAAGUGACAGUCAAAGCAGAACAGAAGGUAGAUGAUGAUAAAUGUGACAAUGUUGUUCUUAGUCAGAAAAAGAAGAUAGGCUCCUCAGAUAAUAAAUUAUCAUCUUCCAAGCAAAAAGCAACAAAAGUUGCUUCUUCGUCAUCCGAGAAGAAAAAUAAGAAGAACAAGAAACAAAUUAAAAAUGCAAAAUAUUCGAAGUCAACAAAAAUGCAACCUAGCUCCACUGAUGGGCAGAAAAAAUGGACUACCUUGGUUCACAAUGGUGUCAUUUUUCCGCCUCCAUACCAGCCUCACGGCAUUAAGAUUCUCUACAAGGGGCGGCCAGUUGGUUUGACUCCUGAGCAAGAGGAGGUUGCAACAAUGUUUGCAGUGAUGAAAGAUACAGACUACAUGCAAAAAGGAAAAUUUCUUGAGAACUUCUGGACUGAUUGGCGAAAAUUAUUGGGGAAGAGCCAUGUAAUACAGAAAUUGGAGGACUGUGAUUUCACCCCAAUAUACGAAUGGCAUCAGUGGGAGAAGGAGAAGAAAAAACAAAUGAGUACAGAAGAGAAGAAGGCCUCGAAAGAAGAGAAGUUGAAGCAAGAGGAGAAGUACAUGUGGGCUAUUGUCAAUGGUGUCAAAGAGAAGGUUGGAAACUUCAGAGUUGAACCACCUGGGCUGUUUCGAGGCCGGGGAGAGCAUCCAAAGAUGGGAAUGCUGAAAAAGCGCAUCCGUCCAAGUGAUAUCACCAUAAAUAUUGGAAAGGAUUCCCCAAUCCCUGAAUGCCCUAUUCCUGGUGAAAGUUGGAAAGAAGUGAAGCAUGAUAAUACUGUUACAUGGUUGGCUUUCUGGAAUGAUCCAAUCAAUCCGAAAGAAUUCAAGUAUGUUUUCUUGGCAGCCAGCAGUUCCUUGAAGGGGCAAAGUGACAAGGAGAAAUAUGAGAAGGCAAGAAAGCUGAAGGACCACAUCGUCAACAUCAGAGCCAGAGCAGCUUACCAAAAGGAUUUUAAGAGUAAAGAUAUUGCAAAGAAGCAAAUAGCAGUUGCUACCUAUCUUAUUGAUAAGCUAGCUCUUAGGGCGGGUAAUGAGAAGGAUGAUGAUGAAGCUGAUACUGUUGGUUGUUGUACAUUAAAAGUAGCAAAUGUAGAGUGUAUUCCUGGAAGUUUUAAUUUGAAGUUCGACUUCCUUGGUAAAGAUUCAAUUCGAUAUGAAAACACAGUUGAGGUUAAGCCUGAGGUGUAUGAGGCUAUUGGAACUUUCCAAAAGGGGAAAAGGCAAACUGAUGAUCUUUUUGACAAGCUGGAUACAACAAAACUGAAUGCUCAUCUGAAGGAACUCAUGCCUGGCCUCACAGCAAAAGUUUUUCGUACAUAUAAUGCAUCAAUCACAUUGGAUGAAAAGUUGUAUGAGGAAACUGAAGAUGGGGAUGUUGCAGAAAAAGUUGUCAUCUAUCAACAAGCAAACAAGGAGGUUGCAAUCAUUUGUAAUCACCAGCGUACUAUUUCAAAAUCUCAUGGUGCACAAAUGUCAAGGCUGACUGAGAAAAUUGAGGAGCUCAAGGGUACUCUAAAAGAGCUGAAAACUGAUUUGGACAGGGCCAAGAAGGGGAAGCCUCCAUUAAAGGAUGCAGCUGGAAAGCAAAAGAGGAACCUGAGUCCUGAAGCCAUAGAGAAAAAGAUAGUGUCAACCAAUCAAAGGAUUGAGAAAAUGGAAUUGGCUAUGAAGA